AUGCCCCUGGACUUCACCACGCACUUCGUCGCGGUUCCGACGGAGUUGAAGCUCAGGAACAACACCGGCUGCUCCUAGAAGGUGACGGCGAAGCUAAUGAACGGCAGGGUGACCCUGGAUCAGGGUUGGGCCACCUACGCAACCGUUCAUCAAAUCAAGAUCAGUUACAUGGUGACGUUCAAGCUCCUUACUCCCGACACCCUCAAGGUCAUCAUCUUUGACGACGAUGGCAUUGAGGUCAUCAACAAGUGCGGGAAGCACGACGAAACCUUCGCCACCAAGGACUAG
Molecule: ribosomal RNA, 288 nt
Filed under: Triticum aestivum (bread wheat)
Lineage: Eukaryota; Viridiplantae; Streptophyta; Magnoliopsida; Poales; Poaceae
Description: partial small subunit ribosomal RNA
Source: RNAcentral